Vespa velutina is the source of this 9743-nucleotide long non-coding RNA. RefSeq lists it as uncharacterized. NCBI's taxonomy places the organism in Eukaryota, Metazoa, Arthropoda, Insecta, Hymenoptera, Vespidae. The record is from RefSeq and is a predicted model, not a curated record. The transcript has 14 exons.
AAAAAAGAAAGAAAGAAAGAACAGUUGUAUAUGUAAAUACGCUUAGACUUUGCAAUAUUAUGGAAAUCGCUUAAUCGGCAAAGUACAUAUUUAAAUUUGACUUUGAAAUAACAACAAAGCAGUCGAAGUUCUUUAUGCUAUUGCGUACGUAAAAUAGAACAGGAGGGAUAGGAUGGGAGAGGGGGGUCACUAAAAGGCAAAUGAAGUUAGUUUCUGAGUAUCGAUCAAACUUCAUGGAUCAUUAUUUUUGAUGGCUCAAUAAAUUAUCUCGAGCUUGUGUGGGCUAAUGUGUAUUAAUAUAAAUUAAUUCGAAGAGAAAGACGUUGAACAAAUUUGAAUUUCUCGAGAAAACAAAAUGGUGGAUUUAUUUCGUGUCGUAACAAAUUUUAACAAAUGUGAAUCGAAGACGAGCAAAAAUUCAUAUUUCCUAUUGGAGAUGCGUUUUUUCUCCUUCCCCCCCACCCCCCAUUGAAAUGGCGAUCGUAAAUUGAUUAUCCCAAUUAACCGCGUGUGAAAUAAACGCAACAAAGGAAUUAACUGCCGUGAAAAUUACCAUCUUACCAAUAUGGAUAGCAGAAGGAGAAUCAUCAAGGCAACUAUAUACCAACGAUCGAUAAUCCAUCGUUGAAAGUUAGCAAGACUUGCAUCAGAUAGAAGAAGCCUUCUUAAGGUGGCCAGAGGGCCACUUGGAUCAACCUAUGCACGUACAAGGAAAUAACUUACAUAACAUGACCAGAGUUCACAGCUCUUGGUCGGUGGAUCCUCUGGUCCUGCGAUACACUGACAGGAUUCCAAACCGUAAGCCAGGCAAAUGCUGCCGGUGCAUUCCUGAAAGCAAUGCGAAGAUCCGAUAAACUACCACCAUUGCUUUACAAUUAUCGCUCUAUACAAGAGGACAAUGAUUUACAGGAGAUAUCAAAGGCGACGAGAGGGAAUAGAGAGUGGAGUAGUCUAUGGGAUCGAAAUGACGAAGGACGAUACUUGAAACACUGGUAGGUUGGACGUAGGAAAAUCGAGCUUACUAUUUGUUUUUCGUCGAGGAGAAAGAGAGAAUGGGUGCUUCGGGUAACGAGGAUCAGAUACAUUCGAUUCUAUUCAGCCGAGUGGAAAACGUUGGUACGCGAAGAGGCAAGUCGACUGUUGAGGAAGGAAGAGGAAGUGGAAGAGGAGGAGAAGGAGGAGAGAAAGGGGUAGAGGGUAGAGGGUAGAGGGUAGAGGGUAGAGGGCUUUUCUCUCGUAUGUACGAGCCGUGGAAAUCGAUAUUCCCGAAAUAGUCGGUUUCUAAUUUGCAAGUACAAUAACGUCGGUUGGUCGGUUGGUCGAAAGAGGAGAUGAGAGAAGUGGAGAGGCGAUGGAUGCUAACAGAGAGAGAGAGAGAGAGAGAGAGAGAGAGAGAGAGUGUGAGUGGGAGAAAGCGCGCGAGAGAGAGAGAGAGAGAGAGAGAAACAGGGAGAGAAGUCAGCUGCCGCGCUACGUCCCCGAAAGUUUGCAAUUUGCUUUGGCGUUUCCGCACCGUCGGCAACAAUGAGACGUCGACGUCGCAUCCUCGGCUCCACACCGAAUUCGACGUUCUCUGAAUCGAACAGAGUAAGGGGAGACGUUUGUACGUUCGCGUCAAGAAGAAAAUUGUGUUUCUCUAAUGAAUACUUUAGAUUAUUUAUGAUUUCUUUUCUUUUUCUUUAACCUUUUUUUUUUCCUUUUUUUUUUUCCCCCCACAUUUAAAAUCGGAUCUUGAUUAUGUAUUUCAAAUUUCCUCUAUGACAACUAUGUCGAAUAGAACGUAAUGAGAGUUUUGUUUGUUUCAGAAACAAUAGAGGUAUAUGUAUAAUACUUACACGUAUGUGUAUAUAUAUAUAUAUAUAGUCUAUGACUACUCAAAGUCCUUGAACUCAUCUUUAUUAAAGUCACGUAGAGUCGAUAAGGUGGCCUCGAUGCAACUCGAACGAUCUCGCCCUACGGAAAUUCGUAACUCUGUACGUCUCUGACGCGAGUGCCGUUGUAAUGGCGAUUGUUUCUCGACCUGUAGGUACGGCCAAACUUUCCCCUUCUGCGAUUCGUGCUGAGAAGUUACACGGAAGCAGUUCGAGCGUUAGAUUUUAUCACGCUCGUUCCACCAUCGGAGCCCUUAUUUGUUCCGUUAGUUAAAACGAAAUAAUCGCUGGGAUAUCUUGAUUUUGUUACUCCUCCUUUUAACUUUUUCUUUUCUUCUUUUUUUAAUUUGCUCUCUCGAUAAGAUAUUUUCUCUCUCUCUCUCUCUCUCUCUCUCUCUCUCUUUCUUUCUCUCUCUCGCUUUCUUUUUUAUCGAAUUCAUUAACAUUUUAUAAAGCGCGUAAAUUUAGUAAUAUCUACCUAAUAGAUCGAUGAAAAAAUUUGGACAUUACUUUUGAUGAAAAUUUAAUAUUUAAAAUUUUGCAUCCUUAAGCAUUAAAUUUUAUUAGAAAAUUUUUUAAUAAAUUUUUCGUAUUCUCAGGAUUUGCAGGAUUAUGAUAUUGGAAAUAAAUCGAAUCGAUAUCACUUUUUUUUUUUCCUGAAAAUGAUUUAAAUGAUUUUUACCUACAUUUUUCUUUAUUUACCAUACGCCAGUCUUAUUCAACCGAUUCAUCGUCUUUCUUUCUCUCUCUCUCUUUCUCUCUUUCUUGGUUCUAUUAGCACCGUAAUUCACACACCGUAUACUUGCUAUUAUGACUACUACUAACGUACGAUCACGGAAACGCUAGACAGAGCUCAAUGAAUAAGUUACUAGCCAAGAAGCGGCUCUGCCGGGAAUCGUAAAUUCGACGCGCCGCGGCAAUUCCGUAAGUGCGGCGUAUUCUCGUUGAGAUAGUCGUGAGGAACGCUCAUAAAAAUCGUCCCUUAUCGUAAUAUUAUUCUCUAUGCAAUUAAACGAACGUUGGAACGAAAGAAAAAAAUGAUCUUUGCAUUAGUAUUAAGGGAAUUCGAUAAUAGAAUUAAAUUAGUCUAUCGACGAUGAUAAACAAUUCAAUUUUAUUUUCCAAUAUAACAUCAUAUUUGUCAUAUAAAGGAGAAAUAAUUGAAUUCGUAACGUAUAUUAAAAGUUUAUCAAAUCGAAAUAAGUUAGGAAUUAUUUGAAAAACAAAAUCUUCUUUUAAAUGUUAUUCCUUAUAUAUUUACAAUGAUUCUCUAUUUAUUAUAUCGAAAUAUAUUAUAUAUAUUUCGUUUACAUGUCCAUUGAUAAAAAAAGAAACAAAUAUGCCCCUUUAUUUUCAGCUAUGAAUCGGUUUAUUUCUAUCUGGUAUUUUGAGAUUAUGUUGUAUUAAUCGAGAAAUAUCUACGUCACAUCUAACGAAAUGACCACGGCCUCGAGGGAUAGCAGACGUCAAAGCCAUAAUCACCGUCGAUAUUUCUAUAUCUCAAAUAUUCGCAUGUUGAUAUAAUAUUAUACAUAUAUGGCAUAUGCAAAACGAAAUUGGCGACGUAUGAAUUAAUUAUUAUAUUAAUAGCGACCGGCUAUUUUACCGUACGGGUAUUCAAUUGGCGAUUGAGGAAGAGAGAGAGAGAGAGAGAGAGAGAGAGAGAGAGAGAGAGAGAGAGAGAGAGAGAGAGAGAGAGAGGAAGUAGAAAGAGAACAAAAGCUUCAUACGCAUGUAAUUAAUGCCCUGUGAGUUCUAUUACCAUCAACACCAUUGCUCUAUUUUCACGUAUUUCAUGUAUUUCACUUCUAUUAAUAUUCUUUUACAAAUACGUACUAUUCGACUAUUUCGUUUGGAUUUCGAGCAUUAUUAUAGACGAUAGCGAUUAAGCGAGCAAACUUUAUUCGUUCAUACGAAACGAAUAGUGUGACCUGACAGAUUCCGUAUUAACUUUGUGUAUCGUAAUUUUUCGACGAGAAACAUUUCCUCUACGUUUCCAUUUUCCAUGUAUUCGUAAAAAAAAAAAAAAAAAAAAAAAAAGAAAAAAAGAGAGAAAAAAAAGUGCCAAAACUCGAUUCAUCCAACUCUUUCCAAUGUGUGUCCCUUCCUUUCUUGUUUAUCUGAUGAAAACUAUCGUAUUCGAUAUAUCCGAUACGACGUCGACGACAAUUUAUUUCGUUUCGUGAAUAUUUAAUUGCAUUAUAAAAAUUCGUAAAAAUCAUUGAAGGGAAAAAUAUAUAUCCAUUAAACAAAAAUGAAAUAACAAUGCACGACGACUAGGGAAUGUGAGAUAGCUAGAGACAGUUUUUCAAUUUUUACAAAAAAUCGAUCGAUGGAUGAUCAUUCAGAGAAGUUUUACGAAUAAAAUCUCUCUCUCUCUCUCUCUCUCUCUCUCUCUCUCUCUCUUUCUCUACCGGCGCAGAUGGAAUUUGACAAAGGCAGGAAUCGUCUGCGUCCAUAAAUUCGUGGUUGUAGAUCAAUACUAGGUAACGGGUAACGUGAAACUUGAUAGUGGUGCCUAUGUGUGUGUACGUUUGUGUGUAUAUAUAUAUAUAUAUAUAUAUGUGUAUGGAUAUGAUUGCAUACGUAAAGGAGAAAUAGAGUGGUAUGCGAGUAAGUAGAGUGAAGUAGUGAAGUAGCCAAGUGGUGUGUGAGGUUGUAUUCUCCUCGUCUCGCUCGUUGGAGAAUGCUCGAAAGGACUCUGUGUGAUUCUGCACAACAUGUAUGCUAGUACCUAAAUAAGUGUAUGUGUAUGAGAGAGAAGAGAGAUGGAAAUAGACUCAUGUAUUCUCACCCCCAUGUAGCAGACGAACUCCUCGUUGCAUAUGGUCUUGUUGGGUUUGUUGAUGGAUGGCGGACACUGGGGACCUCGGCCGUCGCAAAAGCUCGCGUCCCUGCAUCCGUUGUCGUCCCUGCACUUGUCCCCGCUGCGUAAAGUACAAGCCGACGUGCAGCACGGUCCCUGCGACAGAGAUACGAAGAUCAGAGAGAGAGAUAGAGAGAGAGAGAGACUGUGAGAUCAGUAUGGUCUCUGUGGGAAUCCGUUAAUGAUAAAUCCUCUCAUCGUGGGCACGCGCGAGAUAUGUCGGAACAUCACGAGCAUCGCUUUUUUACUCGACAAAGCUUUGCGGAACUUUGUUAAUGAGAGCAAACAGAAAAUUCGGAUUUGAAAAGGAUGCUUUCAAAGGGUAGACUACCAGAAGGCUGUGGUUGGACUAAUUGUAAACAACAGAGAGAAUACUCGAGGCAUUGGAUUUAUUUAUACUUUACGGCGGAAAGGUACUAAAGUGUGUGUCAAUGGAAAACAAGAAGAUAGAUAACAGACAGAGGACGGGGAGUCGAGCGAGCGAUAGGGAGUAUCACUAUUGUUUUGGAUUUCAAACUGUACGGAUCGUAAUCUUGUGGACGAUGGCUUAUACGAAAUUACAUUUUGUAUUCAGGUUCUUCGCUGGCACACGAUUGGGUUGGCAAAACGGAGACGUCUCUGGAGCGAUAUGCGAUCGUAUGAUGAUGACGUAGAUCAUCGGAUUUAUUUCCACAAUGAUUGUCAUUAUCAAAAGACAAUCUAUGACAAUCCGAGGAUGAGGAUGAAUAUCUGCUGGCUGGUUCGAUGUAAAUCUCAUCGGAGGCUGUAAAUAUUGUCCCAUCGAAUAGGCCCUCAGUAGUGACGAUACCAUGGACCAAUGAAUUUUCGUCGUCUGUAAAGAAAAAAAAAAAAGGAAAAAAAGAACAAAAAGAUAGAAAAGGAAAGAAAAGAAAGAAGAGAGAAAAAAAGGCAAAAAGAAAAAGAAAGAAAGUAAGAAACAAACGUACGAACGUGUUAAAAUGCAAAACGAUCCAUUUGUGUAAACAUAUAUCGUACAAAUUAUUUGACGAUAGUCUGGUUUAUACAUAGAUAAAAUGUAAAAAAAAAAAAAAAAGAAAAAAAAAAAAGAAAAUUUCUACAAUUUUACGCGCUGUUUCUCUUUUCCUGUUUCGUAACUUCUAUCGUCUGUUUUAGCUUUUCCUUCGGAAAAACCACUUGGCAUAUCAUAUCCCGCGAUUUGCAGAAUGCGCGAAUAUCGAAGAGAGAUUCACGGUUAUAUUCCCUUCGAGCCGUAUUGCCAGUGAAAUCGCUUACUUGUUUUAUAUGCCAAUGUACGUGUUGAAAGGAUCGAAAGUCUCAGUGGAGUAUUACAACAAAUACCGAGGAAUUUCGUGGAAUUCAGGAACUACGAAACCGGCUUAAAAAAUCCAUAGCGGAUUUGCUAACGUUGGAUCUCACGAAAGGGAAUAUAUUGGAGGAUCCAUUCGAAAUGUAAUUAAUUAUUACGAGAAAGUUGGCCUUUUUAAUUCGUAUUAUUGAACUAUCGAUACAUACUUAACCUCGUCUCAUUAAAUUCUCACAUACUCUUCGAAAAGGUCGAAGGCACUUCGACGUGUUCGUGAACAUUUGAAAAAGUUUAGAAGAGAGAUGAUAGAAGUAUAGAAGAGGAGGUGGAGAAGAAGAAGGACGUUUCGUGAUACUAGUAGGUGGGUUUAUUAAUUAAGUACACCACGAUGGGGACACUAAGACGAGCGAGGAAGAGGAGACUACAGAACUAGGUAGAAACGCACGAAGGUGUCGUAACGUUUCUCUUUUACGAUCUCGUAGAAAGAGGAGGAAGAAGAAGAAAAAGAAAAAGAAGAAGAAGAAGAAGAAGUCUGGUACAGUAUAAUAGUAUGAUGGUGGUGGUACUGGUUGGUGGUGAUGAUGGUGGUGGUGAUGAUGGUGAUGGUGGUGAUAUGGUGGUAGAGAAAGUAGAGAACUGUCGGAAGGGGUCGUAACGUCGAAAAGACGAUGCAAUUCGCGAAUGCAAACCACAAAACCGGACGUAUGCUGGUCGAGCAUCUUUAAGGGUCCUUUUUCAAAUCAUCAAACUUCUUUUCUCUCGUAUUUUAGUGGAUAUUUUUUUUUUUUCUUUUUCCUCAAAUUCUUCAACCAUGUAAUUUCUUUUAUAUAUUCAUUGAAGGAUACCAUCCUAAUGUAUUUCAAUAAUCACGAACGAUUUUCUGAUAAAGUGCCAAUGGAUUUUAGUUUAUUAAUAGAUUUAAUUUUCUAAGAAGAAAAUGUUAUAUUAACUUUGUUCCCUCCUUCGAGGGAAAACUUUUAAAUCGACACUUGUUACUUCUAUGCGAGAAAAUCAUUUUAAAUUGUUAUUUUAUAGUUGAAAAAUAAAAAGGGACAGAGAAAGAGAGAAAAAGAGAGAGAGAGAGAGAGAGAGAGAGAGAGAGAGUAGAAAAAAUAAGAUGUAGAAAUAAAAGAAGAAAGAAAAUUUAUUUACAUAAUUUGUGUACACUUUGUUUUUAUUACUUUGCGUGAAUUAAAAGGGACAAGAAUUUCUCUCUCUCUCUUUCUCUCUCUCUCUCUCUCUCUCUCUCUCUUUCUCUUUGUCUUUCUGUUUCUUUCUUUCUUUCUUCCUUUAAUAUGCCAUAUCAGAUGUAUAUCAGCUGUCGGAGGUUUUUCAUUGCAGUAGAUUUGAAAGUUACGAUCUGACAGAAGUUUUGCGAGAAAACUAUGCAGGUAGAAGAGUGUAGUCGAAGAGAGAACAUUAGGAGGGAAGUGGCGAGAGGUCGUAAGAUCGAAACGACGUCGUAAUCCAAGGACGAAUCUUUUCACAUUUUCUUUUUCUAUAUCUCUUUCUUUCUCUUUCUUGUCGUCGGUGAUCCAUCGCUAUCAGUCCGUUUCGCCAAAGUCAUCGAUUAUGCGAAAACGGUGGCAGGACUUUGUUGAGCUCUCUUUGUCGAUGAACAAAACGAAAAGGAAAGAAAGAGAGAGAGAGAGAGAGAGAGAGAGAGAGAGAGAGAGAGAGAGAGAGAGAGAGAGAAGGAAAAAGAGAAAAUUCUCACUAAGAAAACGCAAUGGGAUAUGAAUGAUGUCGAGGAAGGAAAAUUUUUCUAUGCUGUAAAACGAAUCGAGCAACUCGAUUGAGAAGGUAAAGGCAUUAUUGACGAACACCUCAUAAAUUUAAAUCAGAUUCCGUGAAAUGAUUUCUUCCUCGUUCUUUGACGAUCUUUCUUCUUCUUCUUCUUCUUCUUCUUCUUCUUCUUCUUCUUCGUCUUCUUCGCUUUCGUACCUUUUUUUUUUAUUUAUUUGCCUUCUUUUCUGGAUUAUCUUACCCUUCCAAAAAUUUGCCAUUUUCAAAGUUACAGUUAGAUCUCCCGUUAAAACCGAGCCUGCUCCCGUCUAUAAGGGCAGGAAUAAAUUAUUCUCUUUCACCCUUGUCGCAAAGAGAAAUUGCUUGGCCUCCGGUUACUGAAAGAAGACUUGAGGGAUGAAAGUGCAAAGACUCUGAGAGUAAUCGAAGGAACGAUUAAAACGUUAAUAUUAAAAGGAACACGCGCCUGUACGGAAAUGAUUUUCGAGUUUGAAGUUGGAGGAAUAUUCAAGGACGAAGGAGAUGUAACUUGUAAUAAGGAAGAUGACUCGAUUCGAUCGUGAUAUUAUAAUUAUAUACUUUGUAUACGUUUAUUUGUGUUUUUCAUUUCCUUUCUUUUUUCGUUUUUUUUUUUCUUUUUCUUUUUCUUGUUUUUCUCGAAUCAUUAAGAUCUGACAUUAUGCAUUUGAAAUAUGCAUUAUACAUAUUUCGUUUUCUUCUCGUGGAUAAAUAAUUCGAUAAUUAUAUAUCGAAUUUGUUUAUACGAAAAUAAUAAAGUACUUCAAUAGUACUCAUCAAAUCUUAUUUAAUGUUCUGAAUAAUUAUGAAUGUAAAUAUUAAUUGAAUUUACGUUUAAUGUUACAUUUAUCUUUCUAUAAUUAUGAUAUCGUAGUAAUAAUUAUCAUUAAGAUAUAAUUAUCUUAAUGAUGAAACUAUUCUUUGAGAUAAUAUAUUAUACCUCGUUUUAAUCUUAUUUAUAAUUAUAUUCUUGAGAAAUAUUUCGAGAUGGUAUCUUUAUCGAAUGCGAAUUAAUUUUAAUCGUCUUUUUCAUAUUUACGAUUUUCAAGGAAGGAAAUGUAGGAUAAACGUUGGAUAUUUGUAUAAUCAAAAAGCUCGAUGUAUUUGGAUGAUUAAAUUUGAGGAAAAAGUUAUAAGAGCUUCGUUAUACCGGAAAGAAAUGUGUCUUUCAAGGGAAAGAAACGUUAAAGAGGAAAGAAAAGAGAAGGAGCAAAAAAAAAAAAGAAAAAAGAAAAAAAAAGAAACGGAAAAGAAAACAAAAAGAAAAGAAAAGAAAAGAAGUACAAAAUUAAAAUAUGGUCGGCGAGAGGUAAAAUAGAGGAGAGCUGAUGCUGGUAGUGGUUAAGAUGAAAAGCACGAAAACUGGUUAUUAUUUCGAUUAUUAAUUUAGCGAAGAAGACUUGACUGUUGAUGUUGUGUUGAUGUGUACGUAUAUACAUAUAUAUAUAUAUAUGUGUAUGUGUGUAUUUACUGGUAUUAGUAAGACCUUCGUCUCAGAAAGUACAAAAAGAUAAUGUGCGUAAAGCUUUACCACCGGGGCAAUGAAUAAAGCUCGCAAAAGAGUUUCGAACGAGUUUAACAACAAUCCCUCUCUUCUUUUCUAUCUUUAACAUAACCAAGAAGAAUGAAAGUGAUUAACCUUUUACUUAACGAGUACUCUGAUACACGCGUAGGGUAUAAGCCCGCCGUCGCAUUUUUUUUAAUAAAAACUUCGACACUGACGAUCUGAAAAUUAGCACCGAUAGAAGCGCUUCGUGUUCAUCCUUAUAUUCAUUAUAUAUAUAUAUAUGCAUGUAACUUUUUUAAUUUUUUUUUUUUAAUCGCAAGGAAGUUAUUGCGAAUAGAAGGAAGGAAUAAAAAAAUUUAUAUUUAGGAUGCCGGAUUUUUAAUUGCUCCUGUAUUCCAAUAUAAGUUUAUAUGUAAGUAUGUAUACAUAAUUUAUAUAUAUAUAUAUAUA